CAGCAGCCGCGGUAAUACGGAGGGAGCUAGCGUUGUUCGGAAUCACUGGGCGUAAAGCGUGCGCAGGCGGUUCGGAAAGAAAGAUGUGAAAUCCCAGGGCUCAACCUUGGAACUGCAUUUUUAACUACCGGACUAGAGUAUGUCAGAGGGAGGUGGAAUUCCACGUGUAGCAGUGAAAUGCGUAGAUAUGCGGAGGAACACCGAUGGCGAAGGCAGCCCCCUGGGCCAACACUGACGCUCAUGCGCGAAAGCGUGGGGAGCAAACAGGAUUAGAUACCCCCGUAGUCCCUGUCUCUUAUAC
RNAcentral lists this ribosomal RNA (301 nucleotides) under uncultured bacterium. Its description in RNAcentral is "partial 16S ribosomal RNA". It matches the Rfam family "Bacterial small subunit ribosomal RNA", at positions 509 to 807 of the family's 1533-position model. The record is from RNAcentral.